RNAcentral lists this ribosomal RNA (448 nucleotides) under uncultured bacterium. Its description in RNAcentral is "bacterial SSU rRNA". It matches the Rfam family "Bacterial small subunit ribosomal RNA", at positions 329 to 792 of the family's 1533-position model. The record is from RNAcentral.
GCCCAGACUCCUACGGGAGGCAGCAGUGGGGAAUAUUGGGCAAUGGGCGCAAGCCUGACCCAGCAACGCCGCGUGAAGGAAGAAGGCUUUCGGGUUGUAAACUUCUUUUAAGAGGGAAGAGAAGAAGACGGUACCUCUUGAAUAAGCCACGGCUAACUACGUGCCAGCAGCCGCGGUAAUACGUAGGUGGCAAGCGUUGUCCGGAUUUACUGGGUGUAAAGGGCGUGCAGCCGGAGAGACAAGUCAGAUGUGAAAUCCACGGGCUCAACUCGUGAACUGCAUUUGAAACUGUUUUUCUUGAGUACCGGAGAGGUCAUCGGAAUUCCUUGUGUAGCGGUGAAAUGCGUAGAUAUAAGGAAGAACACCAGUGGCGAAGGCGGAUGACUGGACGGCAACUGACGGUGAGGCGCGAAAGCGUGGGGAGCAAACAGGAUUAGAUACCCGCGUA